This 414-nucleotide ribosomal RNA is filed under the name uncultured microorganism. RNAcentral's name for it is "bacterial SSU rRNA". It matches the Rfam family "Archaeal small subunit ribosomal RNA", at positions 459 to 872 of the family's 1478-position model. The record is from RNAcentral.
CAGCCGCCGCGGUAAUACCGGCGGCCCGAGUGGCGGCCACUAUUAUUGGGCCUAAAGCGUCCGUAGCCGGGCUGGUAAGUCCCCCGGGAAAUCUGGCGGCUUAACCGUCAGAAUUCCGGGGGAUACUGCCAGCCUAGGGAGCGGGAGAGGCCGAGGGUAUUCCCGGAGUAGGGGUGAAAUCCUAUAAUCCCGGGAGGACCACCUGUGGCGAAGGCGCUCGGCUGGAACGCGUCCGACGGUGAGGGACGAAGGCCAGGGGAGCAAACCGGAUUAGAUACCCGGGUAGUCCUGGCUGUAAACGAUGCGGACUUUGUGUCGGACAAGCUAUGAGCUUGUCCGGUGCCGGAGGGAAACCGUUAAGUCCGCCGCCUGGGGAGUACGGCCGCAAGGCUGAAACUUAAAGGAAUUGGCGGG